Molecule: long non-coding RNA, 775 nt
Filed under: Gallus gallus (chicken)
Lineage: Eukaryota; Metazoa; Chordata; Aves; Galliformes; Phasianidae
Description: lncRNA (ENSGALG00010028702.1)
Source: RNAcentral
AGUCCCAGAGGUUCCUCAAGUGUGUGGGAGAUCACUUCCUGACACAGCUGGUGAGGCAGCCAGCAAGGGCAAGCAAAAUCCUGCUGUUUGUUCACAGAGAAGGUCUCGUGGGGGAUGUCAAGGCUGGAGGCCGCCUGGGGCAAAGGGAUCGUGAGAUGCUAGAUUUCUCAAUCCUUGUUGAACCACGGAGGGGAGUCAGCAGAACUGCCACCUUGGACUGCCGGAGAGCAAACUCGAACCUCUUUAGGACCAUGGUUGAGAGGGUCCCUUGGGAAGUACUUUUGGAGGGCGUGGGAGCCCAGGAAGGCUGGCAGUACUUUCCAGAAGUAAUUCUAAAGGUGCAGGAGCUGACCAUCCCCAGGUCAUGGAAGAUGAGCUGAUGGGCAAGGAGGCUGGACUGGCUGAACAGAGACCUUCCACUGGAACUCAAGAGCAAAAUGAAAGAUUAUGGUCUGUGGAAGAGUGGGCAAGCUACUUAUGAUGAUUACAGGAACUCCGCCACAGCAGCAUUUUCCAGUCCGUGGCACCUUGAUCCCAGGAUGUGCUCCGCACCGUGCUUCUAGGGCAUCAACAUCUGCUGCUGCACAAAGGCCCCUGAAAGGAAAAGCACCCUCGCACGUUUGCGCUGCUCCCACACUCCCCAGAACUGUCUCUCAAAUCUCACAUAACACAGACUCUCUCAGACUCUUGGCUGCAGCCCAAUAGCACAGCAUCCCCUCUCUCACUUCAUGAGCCAAGAGGCCAUAGUUUGUCAUCCCCUCUCUCACUUCAUGAG